Molecule: ribosomal RNA, 350 nt
Filed under: uncultured bacterium
Lineage: Bacteria
Description: bacterial SSU rRNA
Rfam family: Bacterial small subunit ribosomal RNA
Source: RNAcentral
CAUGGCUGUCGUCAGCUCGUGUCGUGAGAUGUUGGGUUAAGUCCCGUAACGAGCGCAACCCUUGUCCUUAGUUACCAGCACGUAAUGGUGGGCACUCUAAGGAGACUGCCGGUGACAAACCGGAGGAAGGUGGGGAUGACAUCAAGUCAUCAUGGCCCUUACGGCCUGGGCUACACACGUGCUACAAUGGUCGGUACAGAGGGUUGCCAAGCCGCGAGGUGGAGCUAAUCCCACAAAACCGAUCGUAGUCCGGAUCGCAGUCUGCAACUCGACUGCGUGAAGUCGGAAUCGCUAGUAAUCGCGAAUCAGAAUGUCGCGGUGAAUACGUUCCCGGGUCUUGUACACACGCA